UACGUAGGCGGAUGCGCAGGCAUCGUGUGAAAUCCCUCCGCUCAACGGAGGAACUGCACGGUGAACCGCGUGUCUUGAGAUUGGUAGGGGCUGUCGGAACGAUAGGUGGAGUGGUGAAAUGCGUUGAUAUCUAUCGGAACGCCGAAGAAGAAGUCAGGCAGCUGGGCCAUAUCUGACGCUGAGGUACGAAAGCGUGGGGAGCGAACAGGAUUAGAUACCCUGGUAGUCC
RNAcentral lists this ribosomal RNA (229 nucleotides) under uncultured bacterium. RNAcentral's name for it is "partial 16S ribosomal RNA". It matches the Rfam family "Bacterial small subunit ribosomal RNA", at positions 568 to 796 of the family's 1533-position model. The record is from RNAcentral.